RNAcentral lists this ribosomal RNA (264 nucleotides) under uncultured bacterium. RNAcentral describes it as "partial 16S ribosomal RNA". It matches the Rfam family "Bacterial small subunit ribosomal RNA", at positions 793 to 1055 of the family's 1533-position model. The record is from RNAcentral.
GUCCACGCCGUAAACGAUGCAUACAAGCUGUAGCUGGGAUUGACUCCGGCUGUGGCGAAGCUAACGCAAGUAGUAUGCCGCCUGGGGAGUACGGUCGCAAGACUAAAACUCAAAGGAAUUGACGGGGGCCCGCACAAGCGGUGGAUUAUGUGGUUCAAUUCGAAGCAACGCGAAAAACCUUACCUGGAUUUGACAUGUCACGACCGCUGGAGAAAUCCAGCUUUCUCGCAAGAGACGUGAACACAGGUGCUGCAUGGCUGUCGU